This 507-nucleotide ribosomal RNA is filed under the name uncultured soil bacterium. RNAcentral describes it as "bacterial SSU rRNA". It matches the Rfam family "Bacterial small subunit ribosomal RNA", at positions 26 to 528 of the family's 1533-position model. The record is from RNAcentral.
AGAUUGAACGCUGGCGGAAUGCUUUACACAUGCAAGUCGAGCGGCAGCGCGGGGGCAACCCUGGCGGCGAGCGGCGAACGGGUGAGUAAUACAUCGGAACAUGUCCAGUUGUGGGGGAUAGCCCGGCGAAAGCCGGAUUAAUACCGCAUGAGCUCGAGAGAGGAAAGCGGGGGACCGUAAGGCCUCGCGCGACUGGGUUGGCCGAUGUCCGAUUAGCUAGUUGGUGGGGUAAAGCCUACCAAGGCGAUGAUCGGUAGCUGGUCUGAGAGGAUGAUCAGCCACACUGGGACUGAGACACGGCCCAGACUCCUACGGGAGGCAGCAGUGGGGAAUUUUGGACAAUGGGGGCAACCCUGAUCCAGCCAUUCCGCGUGAGUGAAGAAGGCCUUCGGGUUGUAAAGCUCUUUUGUCCGGUAGCGAAACGGUGGCGGUGAUAUCCGCCACUACUGACGGUACCGGAAGAAGUAAGCACCGGCUAACUACGUGCCAGCAGCCGCGGUAAUCUGA